This 218-nucleotide unclassified non-coding RNA is filed under the name uncultured Gammaproteobacteria bacterium. Its description in RNAcentral is "contains 16S-23S intergenic spacer region". The record is from RNAcentral. Lineage: Bacteria; Pseudomonadati; Pseudomonadota; Gammaproteobacteria.
UCCGGUUUGUCACCGGCAGUCUCAUUAGAGUGCCCUUUCGUAGCAACUAAUGACAAGGGUUGCGCUCGUUGCGGGACUUAACCCAACAUCUCACGACACGAGCUGACGACAGCCAUGCAGCACCUGUGUUACGGCUCUCUUUCGAGCACCCCCACCUUUCAGCAGGGUUCCGUACAUGUCAAGGGUAGGUAAGGUGGGGAUGACGUGUCGUUACCUUA